Molecule: unclassified non-coding RNA, 393 nt
Filed under: soil metagenome
Description: partial contains 5.8S ribosomal RNA, internal transcribed spacer 2, and large subunit ribosomal RNA
Rfam family: 5.8S ribosomal RNA (bases 1-120)
Source: RNAcentral
GAUGAAGAACGUAGCGAAAUGCGAUACGUAAUGUGAAUUGCAGAAUUCAGUGAAUCAUCGAAUCUUUGAACGCACCUUGCGCUCCUUGGUAUUCCGAGGAGCAUGCCUGUUUGAGUGUCAUUAAAUUCUCAACCUCACCUGGUUUCUGACUUGUGUGAUGGCUUGGAUUUGGGAGUUGUGCAGGCUGUAGUUAUCUGCGGCUCUGCUCUCCUUAAAUGUAUUAGCAGGUCUUUUACCUCUAUCCCAACAGUGUGAUAAUCUAUCUACGCUGCUGGUUUGGAGACCCACUUGUAGGGGACUGGCUUCUAAUCGUCUGCAAAGACAACUUGACAUUCUUGACCUCAAAUCAGGUAGGACUACCCGCUGAACUUAAGCAUAUCAAUAAGCGGAGGA